RNAcentral lists this transfer RNA (86 nucleotides) under Thalassospira lucentensis. RNAcentral describes it as "tRNA-Leu". It matches the Rfam family "tRNA". From Rfam's summary of the family: Transfer RNA (tRNA) molecules are approximately 80 nucleotides in length. Lineage: Bacteria; Pseudomonadati; Pseudomonadota; Alphaproteobacteria; Rhodospirillales; Thalassospiraceae. The record is from RNAcentral. RNAcentral also lists the same sequence under 23 other names.
GCCCCUGUGGCGGAAUUGGUAGACGCGGCAGACUCAAAAUCUGUUUCUCUUUGAGAGUGGGAGUUCGAUUCUCCCCGGGGGCACCA